Molecule: ribosomal RNA, 495 nt
Filed under: uncultured bacterium
Lineage: Bacteria
Description: bacterial SSU rRNA
Rfam family: Bacterial small subunit ribosomal RNA
Source: RNAcentral
ACGAACGCUGGCGGCGUGCUUAACACAUGCAAGUCGUACGAGACGAUUGAAAGCUUGCUCUUUUGGAUGAGUUGCGAACGGGUGAGUAACGCGUAGGUAACCUGCCUUGUAGCGGGGGAUAACUAUUGGAAACGAUAGCUAAUACCGCAUAACAGCUUUUGACACAUGUUAGAAGCUUGAAAGAUGCAAUUGCAUCACUACGAGAUGGACCUGCGUUGUAUUAGCUAGUAGGUAGGGUAACGGCCUACCUAGGCGACGAUACAUAGCCGACCUGAGAGGGUGAUCGGCCACACUGGGACUGAGACACGGCCCAGACUCCUACGGGAGGCAGCAGUAGGGAAUCUUCGGCAAUGGGGGCAACCCUGACCGAGCAACGCCGCGUGAGUGAAGAAGGUUUUCGGAUCGUAAAGCUCUGUUGUAAGAGAAGAACGUGUGUGAGAGUGGAAAGUUCACACAGUGACGGUAACUUACCAGAAAGGGACGGCUAACUACGUG